AUUGAACGCUGGCGGCAGGCCUAACACAUGCAAGUCGAACGGUAACAGGAAACAGCUUGCUGUUUCGCUGACGAGUGGCGGACGGGUGAGUAAUGUCUGGGAAACUGCCUGAUGGAGGGGGAUAACUACUGGAAACGGUAGCUAAUACCGCAUAACGUCGCAAGACCAAAGAGGGGGACCCUCGGGCCUCUUGCCAUCGGAUGUGCCCAGAUGGGAUUAGCUUGUUGGUGGGGUAACGGCUCACCAAGGCGACGAUCCCUAGCUGGUCUGAGAGGAUGACCAGCCACACUGGAACUGAGACACGGUCCAGACUCCUACGGGAGGCAGCAGUGGGGAAUAUUGCACAAUGGGCGCAAGCCUGAUGCAGCCAUGCCGCGUGUAUGAAGAAGGCCUUCGGGUUGUAAAGUACUUUCAGCGGGGAGGAAGGGAGUAAAGUUAAUACCUUGGCUCAUUGACGUUACCCGCCGAAGAAGCACCGGCUAACUCCGUG
RNAcentral lists this ribosomal RNA (490 nucleotides) under uncultured bacterium. RNAcentral's name for it is "partial 16S ribosomal RNA". It matches the Rfam family "Bacterial small subunit ribosomal RNA", at positions 30 to 507 of the family's 1533-position model. The record is from RNAcentral.